Non-coding RNA from Myotis lucifugus (little brown bat), 74 nucleotides. Lineage: Eukaryota; Metazoa; Chordata; Mammalia; Chiroptera; Vespertilionidae. The record is from Rfam.
CACUCAGGGAGGGGGUCCUUCAGCCCGGAUUGUGUGAGGGCGCAGGCCAGGCUGAGGGACCCCACCAGUGCACA